This 194-nucleotide ribosomal RNA is filed under the name uncultured bacterium. RNAcentral describes it as "partial 16S rRNA". It matches the Rfam family "Bacterial small subunit ribosomal RNA", at positions 338 to 524 of the family's 1533-position model. The record is from RNAcentral.
CCUACGGGAGGCAGCAGUAGGGAAUCUUCCACAAUGGACGAAAGUCUGAUGGAGCAACGCCGCGUGAGUGAUGAAGGUUUUCGGAUCGUAAAACUCUGUUGUAAGGGAAGAACAAGUACGUUAGGAAAUGAACGUACCUUGACGGUACCUUAUUAGAAAGCCACGGCUAACUACGUGCCAGCAGCCGCGGUAAU